CUUAGAAUGGAUAGGGCAAGUUUUACCAAAUUAUGUGAUAUUUUACAUACCACAAGCAAACUUAGUAGUACAAAGUACCUUCAAAUAGAUGAACAAGUUGCCAUAUUCGUGUAUGUGCUAGUGUGACACCCCCAAAAUAGGUAUACAUCACCUAUCCUGAGUCGCCAAAUACAUGGUACAGAAUACAAAUACAAUCUUUAAUAUACAACAAAAGAGCUGUGAGUUUUAAUACAACUAUUGUCUUCUAGACAAUAUCCAAUCUCAGAAUAAGUCCUCAUUACAUUUAUUGUCACACUAUUUAACAGAAUAGUGAGGACUACUAAUGCUAUCCUCUGGACCGUCACUCCGUUCCCCGACUAAUCCCCGCUACGUUCUCAUUUCCUGAAGAGAAUAAUGAAAGCAAAAGGGUGAGCUCAACUAGCCCAGUAAGAAAUAUUAUGACUAAGAUAAUGCAGAAUAAAUUAUCAUUAGUCUUCAACAAUGUUAAACUGAUAAAAUACAAUAGACAUCAAGUUUAACUGCAGCGGAACAAGCAAUCCAUUAAAAGAGUCAAGUAGAGAAUAAAAUCUACUAGGACUGAGCAUUCGGUUAAUAACCGAACCGAACCAGUAAUUCGGUUAUAACCGGUAUCCGAAAAAGCACUGUUUUAACUAUCCGAACAAGUAACCGGAUUUUGCACUAACCGAAUAACCGAAUUAAAAAGAAAUAUCAGCAACACAGUUUAAUUCCUACAAUCCAUAAACAACAAACACAGUUCCUACAAUCCAUUAACAGUUCCAUAAACAACACAGUUACUAGUUAAACAGUUCCAUAAACAACGCAUUUACUAGUUAACAGUCCCAUAAACAACACAGUUAAUAGAUAACAAUUCCAUAACAACACAGUUACUAGUUAUUAGUUAACAGUUCCAUAACAACAUAAUCCACUUGCUAGUUGCUAGUUGCUGCUGUUGCUACCACUUGCUAGUUGUUGUUGUUGCCUGAUAAACU
RNAcentral lists this long non-coding RNA (989 nucleotides) under Panax ginseng (ginseng). RNAcentral's name for it is "long non-coding RNA (PGIN_LNC011022)". The record is from RNAcentral. Lineage: Eukaryota; Viridiplantae; Streptophyta; Magnoliopsida; Apiales; Araliaceae.